UCCUUAAUUCUAGGGAUACAAAUACUUAAUUCUAGAGAUACAAAUAUAAAUAUACAGAUUACAAGAUUACAACCAGCUGUAAAUAAGUGUUUUCCCACACAAACAACCCUCAUCAACUGGCUUAUCCGUCUUAUUCAAUUUCAAAUUAUAAUUUUCAUAGGUUUGGGAAAUUAGCAAAAGCGGAUUGUAAGUCAUGGGCUCAACUUCGAUGGGACUAAUACUAUGCCCUUCUAGAGGUUCAAAUCCUAAAAUUGAUUCCUCGUCCUCAAAAUCUACCAUCAUAAUAAAUGUUGGCAUAUUAAUCAAAAUAGGCUCCUAAUCAUCUUGAUUUUCUUUGGAUAUCUCAUACUCUUCUUGUGGUUCAUCCUCAACUGGUUGUGUAGUUUCUAGGAGUGGUUUUGCAACUAACAUCAACAUCUUUCCUUCUUCAACCGAAUCUUCUAUGAACUCUUUAGGGUCUUCUUCUUGAAUGUACUCAUCAUGAUCUUCCUCAAGUAUUUUCACAAAGCUAGGUAGGUUCACCACCAUGGGCUCAUCCAUCAUGUCGUCAUCAUCAUCGUUAGCAACAUACACCUCUUUUCCUUUCUUCUGAUCAUCUUUUAAAAUACUCUCCACUUCACCCAUCCAACUUGGAUCUACAUGUUUUUUUAGGCUUUCAAAUUGGCAAUUUGGGUUUCGAGGAGAUUGGCUUGAUUUCGAAUGAAUUCAUCAAGGGAAGGUUCUGUUUCUUAAUGAGGAGAUGGUGGGUCACAUGAAGGAAAGUGUUGUGGUGAUGGAUGGUAUUGAGGAGGUGGAUCAUAUGGUGGAAGAAAGUAUUGUUGAGAUGGAAGGUUCAUAAGGUAGGUUGGGGUAUAUAUGGAUGAUGGCUCUUGACUGCUUCCCCAUUGGUAAUUCGGAUGAUCCUCAAAAUCGAGUGUCGGUGUUUGGGUAAAAGCAGGAUUGAUUAUCUUGACACCUAUCACUAUAUUAUUCCCCAUUAUAGAUACGACAAUUGUCAAAAGGGCUCUGAAUUGAAUUGACAUGGUUAAGAUUAAGCCUUCUUUCAACAACAUUUACCUUUUCAGCUAAUGAUGCAAGUGAUGAGGAUAUGGCUGUAAGUGGAUCUUGGUCAUACCAUUCGAAAGUGCUCCACAGUCAAGAAGUUUGGAACAGUGGUUGGAUAUGGGAAUACUCAAAAGUCGCUUGUCAUAAUCCCCAAAGGUUCUGCCUCACUGCCAUAAAAAUCUGACAUAAUAGGGAAAAAAAAAAAGAACACGUUAGAGCAAAUAAAAGUAAAAGGUGUUUAGAUUACAAGAGUUUAAGAAAUCCUUAUUUAUAUUGAGAACACCGUUAUAAUCCCCGGCAACGGCACCACAAACUUGAUUGCUACUUUUUGUAUAGAGCCUAUAAGUGCACAAAUCAAGUAAUAAAGUGGAGUAUUCCAAGCAUCGUCUGCAUAGGGGGAUUAUAGAAUGUAGUGUUAGGUAGUUCACAAGUACCAAAGACAAAAGGUUGAGAUUCUAUAUCUAAACAAAUGAAAUUGUAGGGAUUUAGGAUUACAAGAUUUAAAUAGAUAUGGAUAAAGUAAAGAUUAAAAGUAAUGUAUGGCAGGGUUCUAAACUUCAUCAAAACUUAAAAGAUUAUAAAGUAAAGAUUUAAAAGAUUGUAGACAAGAUGCCGAAUUGUUUUGAAAGUAAAUAAAAGUUGCAUGAAAGAAAUUAAAGAUCAAGAAGGAACAUGUAGUUGAAUCUUGCAAGAAAAUAAAGAAAACUUGGAUCAAUCUUGGAAAAGAAUGCUUUGCUGAAUAGUAAAGAAAACAAGAACAAGAUUUUGCAAACAAGAAAACAAGAAAAGAAAUUUUUGAAUGAAAAUACUUCUUGAUUGAAAAAGAAUUAAAGAACAAGAAUUUGGUAAUUGGCAAAUCUGUCACCUUAACUAAUGAAAUAAAAAACUAAUGAAACUAAGAGAAAGAAGAGAA
RNAcentral lists this long non-coding RNA (1957 nucleotides) under Durio zibethinus. Its description in RNAcentral is "long non-coding RNA (DZIB_LNC001187)". Lineage: Eukaryota; Viridiplantae; Streptophyta; Magnoliopsida; Malvales; Malvaceae. The record is from RNAcentral.